This 405-nucleotide ribosomal RNA is filed under the name uncultured Eubacteriales bacterium. Its description in RNAcentral is "uncultured Clostridiales bacterium partial 16S ribosomal RNA". It matches the Rfam family "Bacterial small subunit ribosomal RNA", at positions 355 to 774 of the family's 1533-position model. The record is from RNAcentral. Lineage: Bacteria; Bacillati; Bacillota; Clostridia; Eubacteriales.
UGGGGAAUAUUGCGCAAUGGGGGCAACCCUGACGCAGCAACGCCGCGUGAAGGAUGAAGGCUUUCGGGUCGUAAACUUCUGUCUUGAGGGACGAAACAAAUGACGGUACCUCAGGAGGAAGCCACGGCUAACUACGUGCCAGCAGCCGCGGUAAUACGUAGGUGGCGAGCGUUGUCCGGAAUUACUGGGUGUAAAGGGCGCGUAGACGGGCAAUUAAGUCAGAUGUGAAAUACCGAGGCUCAACCUCGGGGCUGCAUUUGAAACUAAUUAUCUUGAGUGCAGGAGAGGUAAGUGGAAUUCCUAGUGUAGCGGUGAAAUGCGUAGAUAUUAGGAGGAACACCAGUGGCGAAGGCGACUUACUGGACUGUAACUGACGUUGAGGCGCGAAAGCGUGGGGAGCAAACA